GUCUUGACAAGAGCAUCCUCAGCGGGCGAGUCCCCGGCUCCUCCAGCUCCUUCCUCCUCUUCCUCCUCCUCCUCCACCUCCGGCUUUUGGGGGGUCACGGUCCUCUCUCGGCAGCAGAAUGAGCCGGCAGGUGGUCCGCUCCAGCAAGUUCCGCCACGUGUUUGGACAGCCAGCCAAGGCCGACCAGUGCUAUGAAGAUGUGCGCGUCUCACAGACCACCUGGGACAGUGGCUUCUGUGCCGUCAACCCUAAGUUUGUGGCCCUGAUCUGUGAGGCCAGCGGGGGAGGGGCCUUCCUGGUGCUGCCCCUGGGCAAGACUGGACGUGUAGACAAGAAUGCGCCCACGGUCUGUGGCCACACAGCCCCUGUGCUAGACAUCGCCUGGUGCCCGCACAAUGACAACGUCAUUGCCAGUGGCUCCGAGGACUGCACAGUCAUGGUGUGGGAGAUCCCGGAUGGGGGCCUGAUGUUGCCCCUGCGGGAGCCUGUCGUCACCCUGGAGGGCCACACCAAGCGUGUAGGCAUUGUGGCCUGGCACCCCACAGCCCAGAACGUGCUGCUCAGUGCAGGUGCUGCGGGAGGAGGGGCCUGGGGGUGGCUGGUGGCCUGCACUGGAUAAGAGCAGGAGGCUCAUGGCUUCUGACACUGUGGGGAACGUGCAGGUUGUGACAACGUGAUCAUGGUGUGGGACGUGGGCACUGGGGCGGCCAUGCUGACGCUGGGCCCAGAGGUGCACCCAGACACGAUCUACAGUGU
This 756-nucleotide small RNA is filed under the name Pongo abelii (Sumatran orangutan). RNAcentral describes it as "retained intron". Lineage: Eukaryota; Metazoa; Chordata; Mammalia; Primates; Hominidae. The record is from RNAcentral.